CCAGACUCCUACGGGAGGCAGCAGUGGGGAAUAUUGCACAAUGGGGGAAACCCUGAUGCAGCGACGCCGCGUGAGUGAAGAAGUAUUUCGGUAUGUAAAGCUCUAUCAGCAGGGAAGAAAAUGACGGUACCUGAUUAAGAAGCCCCGGCUAACUACGUGCCAGCAGCCGCGGUAAUACGUAGGGGGCAAGCGUUAUCCGGAUUUACUGGGUGUAAAGGGAGCGUAGACGGUGAUGCAAGUCAGAAGUGAAAGCCCGGGGCUCAACUCCGGGACUGCUUUUGAAACUGUGUAACUGGAGUGCAGGAGAGGUAAGCGGAAUUCCUGGUGUAGCGGUGAAAUGCGUAGAUAUCGAGAGGAACACUCGUGGCGAAGGCGGGUUCCUGGACAUUAACUGACGCUGAGGCACGAAGGCCAGGGGAGCGAAAGGGAUUACAUACCGUA
Molecule: ribosomal RNA, 441 nt
Filed under: uncultured bacterium
Lineage: Bacteria
Description: bacterial SSU rRNA
Rfam family: Bacterial small subunit ribosomal RNA
Source: RNAcentral